This 498-nucleotide ribosomal RNA is filed under the name uncultured bacterium. Its description in RNAcentral is "partial 16S ribosomal RNA". It matches the Rfam family "Bacterial small subunit ribosomal RNA", at positions 29 to 523 of the family's 1533-position model. The record is from RNAcentral.
AUUGAACGCUGGCGGCAUGCCUUACACAUGCAAGUCGAACGGUAACGCGGGGCAACCUGGCGACGAGUGGCGAACGGGCGAGUAAAGCAUCGGAACGUGCCCAGUAGUGGGGGAUAGCCCGGCGAAAGCCGGAUUAAUACCGCAUACGACCUACGGGUGAAAGGGGGGGAGCGCAAGACCUCUCGCUCUUGGAGCCGCCGGUGUCAGAUUAGGUAGUUGGUGGGGUAAAGGCCUACCAAGCCUGCGAUCUGUAGCUGGUCUGAGAGGACGACCAGCCACACUGGGACUGAGACACGGCCCAGACUCCUACGGGAGGCAGCAGUGGGGAAUUUUGGACAAUGGGCGCAAGCCUGAUCCAGCCAUGCCGCGUGCGGGAAGAAGGCCUUCGGGUUGUAAACCGCUUUUGUCAGGGAAGAAAAGCCUUGGGUUAAUACCCUGGGGUGAUGACGGUACCUGAAGAAUAAGCACCGGCUAACUACGUGCCAGCAGCCGCGGUAA